This 467-nucleotide ribosomal RNA is filed under the name uncultured bacterium. RNAcentral's name for it is "partial 16S ribosomal RNA". It matches the Rfam family "Bacterial small subunit ribosomal RNA", at positions 28 to 507 of the family's 1533-position model. The record is from RNAcentral.
GACGAACGCUGGCGGCGUGCUUAACACAUGCAAGUCGAACGGAAAGGCCCUGCUUUUGUGGGGUGCUCGAGUGGCGAACGGGUGAGUAACACGUGAGUAACCUGCCCUUGACUUUGGGAUAACUUCAGGAAACUGGGGCUAAUACCGGAUAGGAGCUCCUGCUGCAUGGUGGGGGUUGGAAAGUUUCGGCGGUUGGGGAUGGACUCGCGGCUUAUCAGCUUGUUGGUGGGGGAGUGGCUUACCAAGGCUUUGACGGGUAGCCGGCCUGAGAGGGUGACCGGCAACAUGGGGCUUGGGUAAGGCCCAGACUCCUACGGGAGGCAGCAGUGGGGAAUAUUGCACAAUGGGCGGAAGCCUGAUGCAGCAACGCCGCGUGCGGGAUGACGGCCUUCGGGUUGUAAACCGCUUUCGCCUGUGACGAAGCGUGAGUGACGGUAAUGGGUAAAGAAGCACCGGCUAACUACGUG